AGGCCAGGUUGGACAGGGCUCUGAGCAACCUGGUCUAGUGGAAGGUGUUCCUGCCCAUGGAAGAGGGGGGAAUGAGAUGGCCUUUGAGGUCAUUCACAACCCAAA
Chiroxiphia lanceolata (lance-tailed manakin) is the source of this 105-nucleotide long non-coding RNA. RefSeq lists it as uncharacterized. The record is from RefSeq and is a predicted model, not a curated record. NCBI's taxonomy places the organism in Eukaryota, Metazoa, Chordata, Aves, Passeriformes, Pipridae. The transcript has 3 exons.